CGAGAGGACCAGAGUGGACGAACCUCUGGUGUACCGGUUGUGACGCCAGUCGCAUCGCCGGGUAGCUAUGUUCGGAAGGGAUAACCGCUGAAAGCAUCUAAGCGGGAAGCCUACCUCAAGAUAAGAUUUCCCUAGGACUUUAUGUCCUCUAAAGAGCCGUUCGAGACUAGGACGUUGAUAGGUUGGAUGUGGAAGCAUAGUGAUAUGUGAAGCUGACCAAUACUAAUUGCUCGUGAGGCUUGACUAUACAACACCCAAGCAGUUG
This 265-nucleotide ribosomal RNA is filed under the name Acinetobacter baumannii. RNAcentral's name for it is "partial 23S ribosomal RNA". It matches the Rfam family "Bacterial large subunit ribosomal RNA", at positions 2684 to 2925 of the family's 2925-position model. The record is from RNAcentral. Lineage: Bacteria; Pseudomonadati; Pseudomonadota; Gammaproteobacteria; Moraxellales; Moraxellaceae.